Molecule: ribosomal RNA, 460 nt
Filed under: uncultured bacterium
Lineage: Bacteria
Description: partial 16S ribosomal RNA
Rfam family: Bacterial small subunit ribosomal RNA
Source: RNAcentral
CCUACGGGAGGCAGCAGUGAGGAAUAUUGGUCAAUGGACGAGAGUCUGAACCAGCCAAGUAGCGUGAAGGAUGACUGCCCUAUGGGUUGUAAACUUCUUUUAUAAAGGAAUAAAACGAGGCACGUGUGCCUUUUUGCAUGUACUUUAUGAAUAAGGAUCGGCUAACUCCGUGCCAGCAGCCGCGGUAAUACGGAGGAUCCGAGCGUUAUCCGGAUUUAUUGGGUUUAAAGGGAGCGUAGAUGGGUUGUUAAGUCAGUUGUGAAAGUUUGCGGCUCAACCGUAAAGUUGCAAUUGAUACUGGCUGUCUUGAGUGCAGGUGAGGUAGGCGGAAUUCGUGGUGUAGCGGUGAAAUGCUUAGAUAUCACGAAGAACCCCGAUUGCGAAGGCAGCUUACUAAACUGUGACUGACAUUGAUGCUCGAAAGUGUGGGUAUCAAACAGGAUUAGAUACCCCGGUAGUC